GCUCUGAAAACUGCGGAGACAUGUUAGUUGAAUUUGGGAUAUAGGUACGUAAAAACGUUAAUUAUGAAGUAGAACAGCUAUUUUAGUGCUUCUUAACCUAAUGCAGAAAUUGUUACGACUACUAAAAUAUUUGUUAAAAUAUUGAGAACGAAAAUCGGCCUUUACUGUAUCGUUGUGUCGAGCUGCUUAGUGCUUAGUGUUGUGUUUGGCCAUGCACAACACUGAAGCACAUGUUGUAUUCCUUAAAAACUAGUGAAAUUGAUUAUUAAUAUGAAAGGUACUACCAAAAAAAAAAAAAAUUAUGUUGUAUUUAGGGUAAUAAAUUAAAUUUAUGCAAUAGGUGUUGACUCGGGUUGCAUAUAUGAUUACAUAAACUUUUGACCAAUGAAAUAGAGAGAGUUGACUUUAGAAAAAGCAAAAUAAAGAAAAAAAUAUGAUUUUGGAAUCCCGAAUACAAUUGUCUUGUGUGUUCAAAAAGUUGGUAGCAAAGCCAUUGUCUUCUUUGGUAUGAGGCAAGAGAAACAAUUCAGUAGAAUCUUGAUAAAUUAAUACUCGAUAAAUUAAUAACAUCGCUUAAAUAAUAAUUUCUUACAGUCCGGACUCGGUGAAAAUGCAUUAAAUUAUUAGUUCAAUAAUUUAAUAUUUCGUUAAAUUAAUAGAAUUUUGUCCUGAUUGUAUUAAUUUAUAGAGGUUUAAUUACUGCUAUUUGUAUUUGUUCUAAGUUAAGACAUGAGAAAUUAAUUUGGAGUAAAAUUCACAUUACUCGAUUUUUAUUUGGUUACAACGUCUUUGAGAAGGAUUACGUUCUUCCCCCGAACAGUGUUCCAUUAUAAACUAAACUGUAGUUACAUUGUCCCAAUCAUACAUUUUUUGCCAGCUCGUUGGAUUACCGGAGCCACUAAAAUAUAUACCGUUUUGCCUUGCCUCCCAAUUGCACACGCCAUUUGUGCAUCUCGAAGACAUUUUUUCUGUGAAAGCAUCAAACUUUUUCUCCUUUGGACCGAGUCUUGAAUUCCACCAGAAAUGGCAAAAGUAGAGAGUAGUCCCCCAAAUAUUAUCGCAGAAAUUCCAUUUGAAACCAUUAGAUACAUACAGCUUAUGGUAACCGAGAUCGUCAUCCCCAGAUGCACAAUGCACUUUCAUCGGGAUAUUUGACCAUAUGGGAAGAUAAUUUGUGAUGCGGACCUCGUAUUUUGUGGUAAGGAAACAAUUCUGUUCUUCUAUGGCCGUAGCUUGGAGAAAGAAUA
Molecule: long non-coding RNA, 1247 nt
Filed under: Erythranthe guttata (spotted monkey flower)
Lineage: Eukaryota; Viridiplantae; Streptophyta; Magnoliopsida; Lamiales; Phrymaceae
Description: long non-coding RNA (EGUT_LNC001765)
Source: RNAcentral